UACGAAGGGGGCUAGCGUUGUUCGGAAUGACUGGGCGUAAAGGGCGCGUAGGCGGCUUUUUAAGUCAGGCGUGAAAGCCCUGGGCUCAACCCAGGAACGGCGCUUGAUACUGAGAGGCUAGAGGACGGGAGAGGAUGGUGGAAUUCCCAGUGUAGAGGUGAAAUUCGUAGAUAUUGGGAAGAACACCGGUGGCGAAGGCGGCCAUCUGGACCGUUACUGACGCUGAGGCGCGAAAGCGUGGGGAGCAAACAGG
Molecule: ribosomal RNA, 253 nt
Filed under: uncultured bacterium
Lineage: Bacteria
Description: partial 16S ribosomal RNA
Rfam family: Bacterial small subunit ribosomal RNA
Source: RNAcentral